This 1125-nucleotide unclassified non-coding RNA is filed under the name uncultured fungus. RNAcentral's name for it is "sequence contains ITS1, ITS2". Lineage: Eukaryota; Fungi. The record is from RNAcentral.
AAUACGCCGCAUCCUUGCAGAUGCGCGAACCUCAGUCCCCCCCAGGGUAUUACACAACGGGCUAUAACACUCCCCGAAGAGAGCCACAUUCCCGAAGUCUUUAUCCCCCGGGGAAAACUGAUGCUGGCCUGGACUGGAAAAGUGCACUGGGGAGAACCCCAGAUGAUUAACCAAGCCCAAGUCUGGUCAUAAACGCUUCCCUUUCAACAAUUUCACGUACUUUUUAACUCUCUUUUCAAAGUGCUUUUCAUCUUUCGAUCACUCUACUUGUGCGCUAUCGGUCUCUGGCCGGUAUUUAGCUUUAGAAGACAUAUACCUCCCAUUUAGAGCAGCAUUCCCAAACUACUCGACUCGUCGAAGGAACUUUACAGAGAUUUGGCAUCCAACCAGACGGGGCUCUCACCCUCUAUGGCGUCCCGUUCCAGGGAACUCGGAAGGCACCGCAUCAAAAGUAUCCUCUACAAAUUACAACUCGGGCCCGAGAGCCAGAUUUCAAAUUUGAGCUGUUGCCGCUUCACUCGCCGUUACUAGGGCAAUCCCUGUUGGUUUCUUUUCCUCCGCUUAUUGAUAUGCUUAAGUUCAGCGGGUAUUCCUACCUGAUCCGAGGUCAACAUUCAGAAGUUGGGGGUUUAACGGCUUGGCCGCGCCGCGUACCAGUUGCGAGGGUUUUACUACUACGCAAUGGAAGCUGCAGCGAGACCGCCACUAGAUUUCGGGGCCGGCUUGCCGCAAGGGCUCGCCGAUCCCCAACACCAAACCCGGGGGCUUGAGGGUUGAAAUGACGCUCGAACAGGCAUGCCCGCCAGAAUACUGGCGGGCGCAAUGUGCGUUCAAAGAUUCGAUGAUUCACUGAAUUCUGCAAUUCACAUUACUUAUCGCAUUUUGCUGCGUUCUUCAUCGAUGCCAGAACCAAGAGAUCCGUUUGUUGAAAGUUUUGAUUUAUUUAUGGUUUUACUCAGAAGUUACAUAUAGAAACAGAGUUUAGGGGUCCUCUUGCGGGGCCGUCCCGUUUUACCGGGAGCGGGCUGAUCCGCCGAGGCAACAAUUGGUAUGUUUCACAGGGGUUUUGGGAAUUGUAAACUCGGUAAUGAUCCUCCAGAGUUUUUCUCUCUCAGAAGAAAAUCA